RNAcentral lists this unclassified non-coding RNA (336 nucleotides) under soil metagenome. RNAcentral describes it as "partial contains 5.8S ribosomal RNA, internal transcribed spacer 2, and large subunit ribosomal RNA". The stretch from base 1 to 120 matches the Rfam family "5.8S ribosomal RNA", at positions 35 to 154 of the family's 154-position model. The record is from RNAcentral.
GAUGAAGAACGCAGCGAAAUGCGAUAAGUAAUGUGAAUUGCAGAAUUCAGUGAAUCAUCGAAUCUUUGAACGCACAUUGCGCCCGCCAGUAUUCUGGCGGGCAUGCCUGUUCGAGCGUCAUUUCAACCAUCAAGCCCCAGGCUUGUGUUGGGGACCUGCGGCUGCCGCAGGCCCUGAAAACCAGUGGCGGGCUCGCUGUCACACCGGGCGUAGUAGAUUUUAUCUCGCUCAGGGCGUGCUGUGGGUUCCGGCCGUUAAAAAGCCUUUUUUACCCAAGGUUGACCUCGGAUCAGGUAGGAAUACCCGCUGAACUUAAGCAUAUCAAUAAGCGGAGGA